Oreochromis aureus is the source of this 308-nucleotide long non-coding RNA. RefSeq lists it as uncharacterized. The record is from RefSeq and is a predicted model, not a curated record. Lineage: Eukaryota; Metazoa; Chordata; Actinopteri; Cichliformes; Cichlidae. The transcript is spliced from 3 exons.
UAACAUUUCAGUUUGUCUUAUAAAUAUUUUCACUGUUAAAUUUCAUCAUAUCCAGAUAAAGCUGCAGGAGACGAUGUCACGUACAUCCAAGUAUCACAUCGCAGACAGCAGCCUGUGAGACAAAGCAGAGACACUGAUCCAGCUGCAGUUUACUCAGCAGUGAGAACUGAAGAUGUCACUUAUGGAAAAAUCAUCAAAGACAAGAAAAAGCGAUCAGACACGAGAGAGUCUGAUGCAGCUGCAGUGAGAACUGAAGACGUCACUUAUGGAAAAAUCAUCAAAGACAAGAAAAAGCGAUCGGACAUGAG